CUUGCCCCUAAGAGGCAUUGCAGGUGUGGCUGCUAUGUCAUAUGUGUGUGCGUCAGUAGGUAGCGAAGAGGAGAAAGGGUAUGGUCUACUUUCAGUGUUCUGAUCUAUGAUCAUUUCAAUGAUUAGUAACCUAGCAUC
Small nucleolar RNA from Mastomys coucha (southern multimammate mouse), 138 nucleotides. RefSeq annotates it as small nucleolar RNA SNORA17. Lineage: Eukaryota; Metazoa; Chordata; Mammalia; Rodentia; Muridae. The record is from RefSeq and is a predicted model, not a curated record. The transcript has a single exon.